Molecule: ribosomal RNA, 497 nt
Filed under: uncultured bacterium
Lineage: Bacteria
Description: partial 16S ribosomal RNA
Rfam family: Bacterial small subunit ribosomal RNA
Source: RNAcentral
GAUGAACGCUGGCGGCGUGCCUAAUACAUGCAAGUCGAGCGAACAGACGAGGAGCUUGCUCCUCUGACGUUAGCGGCGGACGGGUGAGUAACACGUGGAUAACCUACCUAUAAGACUGGGAUAACUUCGGGAAACCGGAGCUAAUACCGGAUAAUAUAUUGAACCGCAUGGUUCAAUAGUGAAAGACGGUUUUGCUGUCACUUAUAGAUGGAUCCGCGCCGCAUUAGCUAGUUGGUAAGGUAACGGCUUACCAAGGCAACGAUGCGUAGCCGACCUGAGAGGGUGAUCGGCCACACUGGAAGUGAGACACGGUCCAGACUCCUACGGGAGGCAGCAGUAGGGAAUCUUCCGCAAUGGGCGAAAGCCUGACGGAGCAACACCGCGUGAGUGAUGAAGGUCUUCGGAUCGUAAAACGCUGUUAUUAGGGAAGAACAAAUGUGUAAGUAACUAUGCACGUCUUGACGGUACCUAAUCAGAAAGCCACGGCUAACUACGUG